CCUACGGGAGGCAGCAGUGGGGAAUAUUGGACAAUGGGGGGAACCCUGAUCCAGCCAUGCCGCGUGUGUGAAGAAGGCCCUCGGGUUGUAAAGCACUUUCAGUGAGGAAGAACGCCUGGUGGUUAAUACCCAUCAGGAAAGACAUCACUCACAGAAGAAGCACCAGCUAACUCCGUGCCAGCAGCCGCGGUAAUACGGAGGGUGCGAGCGUUAAUCGGAAUUACUGGGCGUAAAGCGCGCGUAGGUGGCUUGAUAAGCCGGUUGUGAAAGCCCCGGGCUCAACCUGGGAACGGCAUCCGGAACUGUCAAGCUAGAGUGCAGGAGAGGAAGGUAGAAUUCCCGGUGUAGCGGUGAAAUGCGUAGAGAUCGGGAGGAAUACCAGUGGCGAAGGCGGCCUUCUGGACUGACACUGACACUGAGGUGCGAAAGCGUGGGUAGCAAACAGGAUUAGAUACCCCGGUAGUC
This 465-nucleotide ribosomal RNA is filed under the name Vreelandella stevensii. RNAcentral's name for it is "partial 16S ribosomal RNA". It matches the Rfam family "Bacterial small subunit ribosomal RNA", at positions 338 to 795 of the family's 1533-position model. The record is from RNAcentral. Lineage: Bacteria; Pseudomonadati; Pseudomonadota; Gammaproteobacteria; Oceanospirillales; Halomonadaceae.